This 473-nucleotide ribosomal RNA is filed under the name uncultured bacterium. RNAcentral describes it as "bacterial SSU rRNA". It matches the Rfam family "Bacterial small subunit ribosomal RNA", at positions 1 to 507 of the family's 1533-position model. The record is from RNAcentral.
AGUACAGACGAGUUUGAUCCUGGCUCAAGAACGAACGCUGGCGGCAUGCCUAACACAUGCAAGUCGAACGAGACCCCUGACUUCGGUUGGCGGGUCUAGUGGCGCACGGUGCGUAACGCGUGGAAUCUGCCCUUGGGUUCGGAAUAACUCAGAGAAAUUUGAGCUAAUACCGGAUGAUGACGAAAGUCCAAAGAUUUAUCGCCCAGGGAUGAGCCCGCGUAAGAUUAGCUUGUUGGUGGGGUAAUGGCCUACCAAGGCGACGAUCUUUAGCUGGUCUGAGAGGAUGAUCAGCCAUACUGGGACUGAGACACGGCCCAGACUCCUACGGGAGGCAGCAGUGGGGAAUAUUGGACAAUGGGCGCAAGCCUGAUCCAGCAAUGCCGCGUGAGUGAUGAAGGCCUUAGGGUUGUAAAGCUCUUUUACCAGGGAUGAUAAUGACAGUACCUGGAGAAUAAGCUCCGGCUAACUCCGUG